GGCAGUACCCAGGCAAAAGCCAUGCACAUUCUAGAAAACAUCCAGCACACUCCCCGAGGAAGAGGAUUCCAGAUCGUCUUCUGCACACGCCUUGCCCCUUUUUCUCCACCUGUCCUCGCUCAGAGCUUGCUGCGUCCCUGGAACGUCUCAGCACCGCAAUCCGAGUGAGCACAAGGGAUCGCCGCGGUCCCAGCUCCCCUGCUGCUUCUGGAGAGAGAACGAUUAGGGAAUGUUGAAGUCCAGCCCAGGGCCCUAGGGACAGUGCCGGACUCGCAACAUGGAGUCAGUCACGACGUGCCGUGAUUUAUCAGAAUCGAGGUCAGCUGCUGAAAUGGCCACUGUACGGAGUAAACUUCUAUUUUAUCCUGAAGUUAGAAUCUCAGAGAAUAACAAAGAAACCCACGAAGAUGAUCGAUUCUUCUAGGCUCACAUUUGGAGAGAUUAGAUUCUGCACAAUUCACAAACUGCCUUAUAAAGAACGUUUCCCAUUUGUUGUCCAAGCUCUCCAGAGACUGGCAGGAAAGGAGGUUAAAAAUGUCCAAAAGUGGGUGGCGAGGGGUG
This is a long non-coding RNA of Neogale vison (American mink), 561 nucleotides long. RefSeq lists it as uncharacterized. The record is from RefSeq and is a predicted model, not a curated record. The transcript has 3 exons. NCBI's taxonomy places the organism in Eukaryota, Metazoa, Chordata, Mammalia, Carnivora, Mustelidae.